AAAAGGGAUUUGGUUUAGUGAGUUGGGUUUAACUAAAUGGUUAACCAAGAGGAUUGGGUAAAGGUAAGGGCGCGUUUGGUUCAAAUUAUAUAAUAUUACAGAAUAUUUCGAUAUAUCCGGUAUCUUGGAUUUCUAAAUGAGAUUACUACUGAUGCUGCAUUAGCGCAUUUGGUUUAAUACAGUAAUAUAAUGCUGGAUUGCAGUGUUUAUAGGAUUACUAUGUUUGGUUCUAUCUAUAAAAUUUAGUAAUCUAGACAAUAAAGUAUAUUCUCUUCCAAAAUUACGCUUAGCCAUAUUUUGCAAACUUUUUUUUUUUACUGUUUACAAAUAAUACUUUUUUACAAAAUUUUAUUUUAAAUAAUUUAUUUUUUAAAAUUUAAAUUUUAAAUUUUAAAUUUUAACAAAAAUACAAAUUUAUAUGUUAAUUUAAAAUACAAAUAUGAAAUUUAUAAAUUUAAAAUCUAAAAUAUAAAUAUAAAUAUAAAAUUAAAAUUAAAAUUAAAAAUCUAAAUUUAUAAUUCAUAAUUUAAAAUACAAAUUUUUAUUUUAAAANAAAUUUACAUAUUUAUAAAUUUAAAAUUUAAAAUUUAAGUUUAAAUUUAAAUUUUGAAAAUUGAAAAAUAAAAAUUACAAAUAAAAUUAAAAUUUGAAAUUUGAAAUUUGAAAUUUGAAAUUUGAAAUUUGAAAUUUGAAAUUUAAAAUUUGAAAUUUAAAUUAAAACUUAAAAUUUAAAAUUUAAAUUUGAAGUUUAAAAAUUAAAAAUUAAAAUUCAAAAUUUUAAAUUUAAAAGUUGACAAUUCAAAAUUUUAAGUUAAAUUUUUUAAAAUGAUGUAUUGAAAGGAUUUCGGGAGUUAGAGGGAUAAAAUUGUCAUUUCACAUAAUAUGCAGUAUUACUAGCUUUCAGUAAUCCAAGAUACACCCCCCCAUCUCGUUAAUAUUUUUGGUGUAAUCCUGCAUCAUUAGUAAUGCUAUAUUACCGACCCGAUUACAUACCGAAUGAACCAAACAUAGUAAUCCUGACAGGAUUACCUGUAAUCUUGCCAAGAUAACCCGAACCAAACGCACCCUAAAGGUAAAAGAGAAAU
RNAcentral lists this long non-coding RNA (1085 nucleotides) under Ananas comosus (pineapple). Its description in RNAcentral is "long non-coding RNA (ACOM_LNC037324)". Lineage: Eukaryota; Viridiplantae; Streptophyta; Magnoliopsida; Poales; Bromeliaceae. The record is from RNAcentral.